CCGUACUUUGCCUGGUACGCUUCGUGCCGCCGCCGCAACCUCCUCCUCCCCGUCACAAAUUGCAGAUCAUUUAACAUAAAUGGCUGACUCAGAGGACAUUCAGCCCCUAGUCUGUGACAAUGGAACUGGAAUGGUCAAGUUUGGCUUUGCUGGAGAUGAUGCUCCCCGUGUUGUUUUCCGAAUCAUGUUUGAAACUUUCAGUGUUCUUGCUAUGUAUGUUGCUAUUCAAGCUGACCUUUCCCUAUACGCUAGUGG
Long non-coding RNA from Zea mays, 255 nucleotides. RefSeq lists it as uncharacterized. NCBI's taxonomy places the organism in Eukaryota, Viridiplantae, Streptophyta, Magnoliopsida, Poales, Poaceae. The transcript has 3 exons. The record is from RefSeq and is a predicted model, not a curated record.